This 415-nucleotide ribosomal RNA is filed under the name uncultured bacterium. RNAcentral's name for it is "bacterial SSU rRNA". It matches the Rfam family "Bacterial small subunit ribosomal RNA", at positions 945 to 1359 of the family's 1533-position model. The record is from RNAcentral.
UUUAAUUCGAAGCAACGCGCAGAACCUUACCAGCCUUUGACAUGGCGGGACGGCACCGAGAGUUUGGUGUCUUCACUUCGGUGACCCGCGCACAGGUGCUGCAUGGCUGUCGUCAGCUCGUGUCGUGAGAUGUUGGGUUAAGUCCCGCAACGAGCGCAACCCACGUCCUCAGUUGCCAUCAUUAGGUUGGGCACUCUGGGGAGACUGCCGGUGAUAAGCCGCGAGGAAGGUGUGGAUGACGUCAAGUCCUCGUGGCCCUUACGGGCUGGGCUACACGCGUGCUACAAUGGCGGUGACAGAGGGACGCGAGCCCGCGAGGGUCAGCCAAUCUCGAAAAGCCGUCUCAGUUCGGAUCGCACUCUGCAACUCGGGUGCGUGAAGUUGGAAUCGCUAGUAAUCGUGGAUCAGCACGCCA